Priapulus caudatus is the source of this 301-nucleotide long non-coding RNA. RefSeq lists it as uncharacterized. NCBI's taxonomy places the organism in Eukaryota, Metazoa, Priapulida, Priapulimorpha, Priapulimorphida, Priapulidae. The record is from RefSeq and is a predicted model, not a curated record. The transcript has 3 exons.
CACCAGUGUAUCGUGCUAAUGAGGUUUUUCUUAAUAUAAAGUGUUCUUAUUUCUCAUGUUUCUUAAUUUGGGGAUUUGGUACCCGGUUGAUAUUGUGUGCAAAUGGCUCAUUCGUUGAGACGAGCAGUGGCAGCACUACUGCGAAAACUUGAUGUCGGCACUUCGGAUGCAGAUGCCAUCGCGAAACGUGUCCGAAUUCUGGGACCGCAGAAGCCUCGGACGAUCGUGCGUCUGCAGUUGGAAGCGAAACAUGUCCAGGGUGUCUGCUCUCCAUCGCACAUCGAUUCUCUACUACACGCGG